RNAcentral lists this microRNA precursor (93 nucleotides) under Picea abies (Norway spruce). Its description in RNAcentral is "miR482g stem-loop (pab-MIR482g)". Its record names the gene pab-MIR482g. The record is from miRBase by way of RNAcentral. Lineage: Eukaryota; Viridiplantae; Streptophyta; Pinopsida; Pinales; Pinaceae.
GGAGUAGCCGAAAUGGGUAGAUUGGAAAUACCUCUGCCCGAUUCUUCUCAUGGAUAUGGUGGUCUUUUCAGUUCUACCCAUUUCAGCUAUUCC